This 408-nucleotide ribosomal RNA is filed under the name uncultured bacterium. Its description in RNAcentral is "partial 16S ribosomal RNA". It matches the Rfam family "Bacterial small subunit ribosomal RNA", at positions 28 to 526 of the family's 1533-position model. The record is from RNAcentral.
GACGAACGCUGGCGGCGUGCUUAACACAUGCAAGUCGAACGAAGUGGCGAACGGGUGAGUAACGCGUAAUCAACCUGCCCUUCAGAGGGGGACAACAGUUGGAAACGACUGCUACUACCGCAUACUGAAGGAGGGGAUUGCGUCUGAUUAGCUAGUUGGAGGGGUAACGGCCCACAAAGGCGAUGAUCAGUAGCCGGGCUGGGAGGAUGAACAGCCACAUUGGGAGUGAGACACGGCCCAGACGCCUUCGGGAGGCAGCGGUGGUGAAUCGUCCGAAAUGGGAGAAAGUCUGACGGAGCAACGCCGCGUGAGUGAUGACGGCCUUCGGGUUGUAAAGAUCUGUUAAUCGGGACGCGGUACCGGAAUAGAAAGCCACGGCUAGCUACGUGCCAGCAGCCGCGGUAAUUC